This 158-nucleotide unclassified non-coding RNA is filed under the name uncultured Mortierella. RNAcentral's name for it is "sequence contains ITS1". The record is from RNAcentral. Lineage: Eukaryota; Fungi; Mortierellomycota; Mortierellomycetes; Mortierellales; Mortierellaceae.
CUGAGUUAGGGUUCUAUAUGGCCCAACCUCCAAACCCUUUGUAUAUCCAUCCAAGCUUGCUUUGGUGGGUGAGAAAUGCCUACCAAAGUCCAAUAAAAAUCUAUAUCUUUAACAACAUUCGUCUGAUAACAUAUUAUGAAUAUACUUAAUUCAAAAUA